Molecule: ribosomal RNA, 725 nt
Filed under: uncultured bacterium
Lineage: Bacteria
Description: bacterial SSU rRNA
Rfam family: Bacterial small subunit ribosomal RNA
Source: RNAcentral
GCUACCAUGCAGUCGUACGAGAAAUCCUGGGCAACUGGGAGAGUAAAGUGGCGCACGGGUGACUAUCGCGUGGGUAACCUGCCCUUGAAUUGGGGAUAACUUUCCGAAAGGAAGGUUAAUACCGAAUAACAUUCCGAUCUCCUCGGGGGUUGGAAUCAAAGGUAGCCUCUGCAUGCAAGCUACUGUUUAAGGAUGGGCCCGCGUACCAUUAGCUUGUUGGUAGGGUAACGGCCUACCAAGGCUACGAUGGUUAGCUGGUCCGAGAGGAUGGCCAGCCACACUGGAACUGAGACACGGUCCAGACUCCUACGGGAGGCAGCAGUGGGGAAUCUUGCGCAAUGGGGGAAACCCUGACGCAGCAACGCCGCGUGGGUGAUGAAGGCCUUCGGGUCGUAAAGCCCUGUCAGGUGGGACGAACCGUAUCGGUACAAACAGUGCCGAUGCUUGACGGUACCACCGGAGGAAGCACCGGCUAACUCCGUGCCAGCAGCCGCGGUAAUACGGAGGGUGCAAACGUUGUUCGGAAUUACUGGGCGUAAAGCGCGUGUAGGCGGUUGAGCGGGUCAGAUGUGAAAGCCUUCCGCUUAACGGAAGAAGUGCAUUUGAAACUACUCAACUGGAGUUCGGGAGAGGAGAGUGGAAUUCCCGGUGUAGAGGUGAAAUUCGUAGAUAUCGGGAGGAACACCGGUGGCGAAGGCGGCUCUCUGGCCCGAUACUGACGCUGA